AGUGAACGCUGGCGGUAGGCCUAACACAUGCAAGUCGAACGGCAGCACAGUAAGAGCUUGCUCUUACGGGUUGCGAGUGGCGUACGGGUGAGGUAUAUAUCGGAAUCUACUCUUUCGUGUGGCUUAACGUAGGGAAACUUACGCCAAUACCGCAUACCACCUACCGUUGAAAGCAGUGGAUCUUCUGACCUUGCGCGAUUGAAUUAGCCGAUGACGGGCUUGCUAGUUGGGGGGGUAAAUGCCAACCAAGUCGACGAUCCGUAGCUGGUCUGAGAGGAUGGUCAGCCACACUGGAACUGAGACACGGUCCAGACUCCUACGGGAGGCAGCAGAGGGGAAUAGUGGACAAUGGGCGCGAGCCUGAUCCAACCAUACCGCGUGGGUGAAGAAGGCCUUCGGGUUGUAAAGCCCUUUUGUUGGGAAAGAAAAGCAGCCGGUUAAUACCACGCUGUUGUGACGGUACUGAAAGAAUAAGCACCGGCUAACUUCGUG
RNAcentral lists this ribosomal RNA (492 nucleotides) under uncultured bacterium. Its description in RNAcentral is "partial 16S ribosomal RNA". It matches the Rfam family "Bacterial small subunit ribosomal RNA", at positions 29 to 507 of the family's 1533-position model. The record is from RNAcentral.